Molecule: ribosomal RNA, 774 nt
Filed under: uncultured bacterium
Lineage: Bacteria
Description: bacterial SSU rRNA
Rfam family: Bacterial small subunit ribosomal RNA
Source: RNAcentral
AGAGUUUGAUCAUGGCUCAGAAUCAACGCUGGCGGCGUGCCUCAGACAUGCAAGUCGAACGAUUAAGACUCUCUUCGGAGAGUGCAUAAAGUGGCGCACGGGUGAGUAACACGUAAGUAAUCUACCUUCGAGUGGGGAAUAACGUUCGGAAACGGACGCUAAUACCGCAUAAUGCAGCGGCAUCGAAAGAUGACAGUUGUUAAAGAUUUAUCGCUUGAAGAGGAGCUUGCGGCAGAUUAGCUAGUUGGUAAGGUAACGGCUUACCAAGGCGACGAUCUGUAUCCGGUCUAAGAGGACGGUCGGACACACUGACACUGAAUAACGGGUCAGACUCCUACGGGAGGCAGCAGUCGGGAAUUUUGGGCAAUGGGGGAAACCCUGACCCAGCAACGCCGCGUGAAGGAUGAAGUAUUUCGGUAUGUAAACUUCGUAAGAAUAGGAAGAAUAAAUGACGGUACUAUUUGUAAGGUCCGGCUAACUACGUGCCAGCAGCCGCGGUAAUACGUAGGGACCAAGCGUUGUUCGGAUUUACUGGGCGUAAAGGGCGCGUAGGCGGCAAUUCAAGUCAGCUGUGAAAUCUCCGGGCUUAACUCGGAACGGUCAGCUGAUACUGCUUUGCUAGAGUGCAGAAGGGGCAAUCGGAAUUCUUGGUGUAGCGGUGAAAUGCGUAGAUAUCAAGAGGAACACCUGAGGUGAAGACGGGUUGCUGGGCUGACACUGACGCUGAGGCGCGAAAGCUAGGGUAGCAAACGGGAUUAGAUACCCUAGUAGUCC